UCGAGCUUGAAUUGCGUUUCGUAGGUUACGUCUACGUUAAAACGUUACAGUUAAAUAUAACUGCUAAAAACGAAAACAACUCUUACGCUUUAGCUGCCUAAAAACAGUUAGCGUAGAUCCUCUCGGCAUCGCCCAUGUGCUCGAGUAAGGGUCUCAAAUUUAGUGGGAUACGUUAAACUUUUCCGUCUGUAAAGUUUAAAAGAGAUCAUCAGACUAGCAAUACAGAAUGCCUGUCACUCGGCAAGCUGUAAAGCGAAACCUCAAAUGAGUUGACUAUGAACGUAGAUUUUUAAGUGUCGAUGUGUUUGGACGCGGGUUCGACUCCCGCCGUCUCCAUUG
RNAcentral lists this transfer-messenger RNA (339 nucleotides) under Enterococcus sp. RNAcentral's name for it is "partial transfer-messenger RNA". It matches the Rfam family "transfer-messenger RNA". Rfam says of the family: Bacterial tmRNA, also known as 10Sa RNA or SsrA, is named for its dual tRNA and mRNA-like properties. The record is from RNAcentral. Lineage: Bacteria; Bacillati; Bacillota; Bacilli; Lactobacillales; Enterococcaceae.